UAGGGAAUCUUCGGCAAUGGACGAAAGUCUGACCGAGCAACGCCGCGUGAGUGAAGAAGGUUUUCGGAUCGUAAAACUCUGUUGUUAGAGAAGAACAACGACGUUAGUAACUGAACGUCCCCUGACGGUAUCUAACCAGAAAGCCACGGCUAACUACGUGCCAGCAGCCGCGGUAAUACGUAGGUGGCAAGCGUUGUCCGGAUUUAUUGGGCAUAAAGCGAGCGCAGGCGGUUUCUUAAGUCUGAUGUGAAAGCCCCCGGCUCAACCGGGGAGGGUCAUUGGAUACUGGGAGACUUGGGUGCAGAAGAGGAGAGUGGAAUUCCAUGUGUAGCGGUGAAAUGCGUGGAUAUAUGGAGGAACACCAGUGGCGAAGGCGGCUCUCUGGUCUGUAACUGACGCUGAGGCACGGAAGCGUGGGGAGCAAACAGG
Molecule: ribosomal RNA, 429 nt
Filed under: Gemmatimonadota bacterium
Lineage: Bacteria; Pseudomonadati; Gemmatimonadota
Description: Gemmatimonadetes bacterium partial 16S ribosomal RNA
Rfam family: Bacterial small subunit ribosomal RNA
Source: RNAcentral